This 490-nucleotide ribosomal RNA is filed under the name uncultured bacterium. RNAcentral's name for it is "bacterial SSU rRNA". It matches the Rfam family "Bacterial small subunit ribosomal RNA", at positions 28 to 507 of the family's 1533-position model. The record is from RNAcentral.
GAUGAACGCUAGCGAUAGGCCUAACACAUGCAAGUCGAGGGGCAUCACAUGAAGUAGCAAUACGGAUGGUGGCGACCGGCGCACGGGUGAGUAACGCGUAUGCAAUCUACCUACAACAAGGGGAUAACCCGUUGAAAGACGGACUAAUACCCUAUAAUACAGGGGUUCCGCAUGGGACUAUUUGUUAAAGAUUCAUCGGUUGUAGAUGAGCAUGCGUUCCAUUAGCUGGUUGGUGGGGUAACGGCCCACCAAGGCAACGAUGGAUAGGGGAACUGAGAGGUUUAUCCCCCACACUGGUACUGAGACACGGACCAGACUCCUACGGGAGGCAGCAGUGAGGAAUAUUGGUCAAUGGACGCAAGUCUGAACCAGCCACGUCGCGUGAAGGAAGACGGCCCUACGGGUUGUAAACUUCUUUUGUAAGGGAAUAAAGUGAGUCACGGGUGACUUUUUGCAUGUACCUUACGAAUAAGGAUCGGCUAACUCCGUG